This 468-nucleotide ribosomal RNA is filed under the name uncultured bacterium. RNAcentral describes it as "partial 16S ribosomal RNA". It matches the Rfam family "Bacterial small subunit ribosomal RNA", at positions 28 to 507 of the family's 1533-position model. The record is from RNAcentral.
GACGAACGCUGGCGGCGUGCUUAACACAUGCAAGUCGAACGGAAAGGCCCUGCUUUUGUGGGGUGCUCGAGUGGCGAACGGGUGAGUAACACGUGAGUAACCUGCCCUUGACUUUGGGAUAACUUCAGGAAACUGGGGCUAAUAUCGGAUAGGAGAUCCUGCUGCAUGGUGGGGGUUGGAAAGUUUCGGCGGUUGGGGAUGGACUAGCGGCUUAUCAGCUUGUUGGUGGGGUAGUGGCUGACCAAGGCUUUGACGGGUAGGCGGCCUGAGAGGGUGACCGGCGACAUGGGGACUAAGAGACGGCCCAGACUGCUACGGGAGGCAGCAGGGGGGAAUAUUGCACAAUGGGCGCAAGCCGGAUGCAGCAGCGCCGCGUGCGGGAUGACGGCCUUCGGGGUGUAAACCGCUUUCGCCUGUGACGAAGCGGGAGUGACGGUAACGGGUAAAGAAGCACCGGCUAACUACGUG